UACGUAGGGGGCAAGCGUUGUUCGGAAUUACUGGGCGUAAAGGGCGCGUAGGCGGCACGGCAAGUCAGGAGUGAAAGCCCUGGGCUCAACCCGGGAACUGCUUUUGAAACUGCCGAGCUAGAGUGCGGAAGGGGCAACUGGAAUUCCCAGUGUAGCGGUGAAAUGCGUAGAUAUUGGGAAGAACACCUAUGGCGAAGGCAGCUUGCUGGGACGGUACUGACGCUGAGACGCGAAAGCGUGGGGAGCAAACAGG
Molecule: ribosomal RNA, 253 nt
Filed under: uncultured bacterium
Lineage: Bacteria
Description: partial 16S ribosomal RNA
Rfam family: Bacterial small subunit ribosomal RNA
Source: RNAcentral